AUUGAACGCUGGCGGAAUGCUUUACACAUGCAAGUCGAGCGGCAGCGCGGGGGCAACCCUGGCGGCGAAGCGGCGAACGGGUGAGUAACAUAUCGGAACGUACCCCGUCGUGGGGGAUAACACAGCGAAAGCUGUGCUAAUACCGCAUACGACCUGAGGGUGAAAGCGGGGGAUCGCAAGACCUCGCGCGAUGGGAGCGGCCGAUAUCGGAUUAGCUUGUUGGUGAGGUAAAGGCUCACCAAGGCGACGAUCCGUAGCUGGUCUGAGAGGACGACCAGCCACACUGGAACUGAGACACGGUCCAGACUCCUACGGGAGGCAGCAGUGGGGAAUUUUGGACAAUGGGGGCAACCCUGAUCCAGCCAUUCCGCGUGAGUGAAGAAGGCCU
Molecule: ribosomal RNA, 388 nt
Filed under: uncultured bacterium
Lineage: Bacteria
Description: bacterial SSU rRNA
Rfam family: Bacterial small subunit ribosomal RNA
Source: RNAcentral